AUUCUCGCGAGACUACUACACUGCCAAUCGCUGUUGAGUAUCAGGGUCACAUGUACCACCGCAGCCUAUCUGCUAGGUAUAUUAGCUGAAGCGGGGAAGUAUGAAAGAAUAGGACGCGUUGGGAGGAGCAGAGCUGCAUGAGCCACUUACUGUGAGCCGAGAUGAGAUGAGGUGAGAUGAGAUGAGAAAAACCCGGUUGUGUGAGAUAUAAACUGAAAAAUUGGCCAAGUUUUGAUGGCGAGCUGAAGAUCCAGGCCUAGAGCCUAAGAACGAUUGCACUUUUGGUGCAUGAAGACUUCUGAUUCUCCUGCCAGGCUGGUAGGAGGCUCCUUGCAGCCAGUGAACAAUUUGUCCCCACUCUGAUCUGACUUAUGUAAGUCCAUGACCUGCACGGCACCAAGCCCUCUAUAAUUAACUUGUGUGGGACCUCUAACCAACCCCAGCUUGGGGUGGAUGAACUGAAGAGUGUGGGUCUAUCAAUUAAGAAACUGUGGGAUUGAUUGAUUUUUUUUUCUUUUGCACAUUUUAUAUGGCCAUUCGGAUGUUUCAUUGAUGUUGUAAAUAUGUAUAUAAUUUUUCUCACUUUAAAUACAAGGCACUUGCAACUGCAAACUUCUAGUUUGUCUGCUCCUUCAUGAGUCGUAUCUAUCUUCUGAGAAAAACUAGCCCAUUGACCUUAUUGGUCACCAUUCAUUUACAUUGAUUUAAAAUAUAGUAUUCUGUUAUCUUUACAGAUAUGCUACAUUUGCUUCCCUUUCUAUUUUCCUAAAUGGUUUCACCAAUGUUCUACAGUAUAUCUAAGAAAUACUUUUCUCGUUUUAAUGUUCCUCAGCUAUAAUGCCUUAAUAAGGCCAGAGAACAGCAUACUGAUCAACCUGUUAAUAUCAGUAUACCUUUAUGUUGCUUUGUUAAUCAUUAAUGAUUGUAGGUGGCUGGUAUUUAUCUAUUGAUGUAUGUAAUUAGUUAGGAAGGAUUAUUUACUGAUGCAAAUAUUCUGAAGCAAAGUUAGAACAGAUGGCAGCUUUGUUACUAACUGUAACUAAUGUAAUCCAUGAAUGUUAGCAUGAAACAGAGGCUGGCUUUGGCUGUUUUAUCAUUGUCUCAACUUACACUUCAUACUUACAGCCACAUGGUGGCAGUGUUGUUGUUUUUUGUUCUUAAACCUAUAAAAACAAAAGCCUUGUGAAUGUGGUGCAUGUGGGAAACGAAAGAUGUUUAACCCCAUAUGUGGCAUAAAUCAGGUAAUCUAUGAGAAAAUGCAUCUGAAACUUCAUUUUACAGUUGGACACUCAUCACAUUGUGUGUGAAAAUCAGGUUGUCUCACAAGCUCACAAGUAGACAUGAUCUGAUGUUGAUCAAUAUUUGUAAUCUCUUCUCACUCACCUACUGCUCUUAAAAAUGCUGUCUGCUGAGGAUGAGACUUUAACUCUAAAGCACAUUUUUUCCCCCUGUACGAAUGUAUUAAAAUCUAUAGUUCUGAGCA
Girardinichthys multiradiatus is the source of this 1483-nucleotide long non-coding RNA. RefSeq lists it as uncharacterized. The transcript is spliced from 2 exons. Lineage: Eukaryota; Metazoa; Chordata; Actinopteri; Cyprinodontiformes; Goodeidae. The record is from RefSeq and is a predicted model, not a curated record.